This 330-nucleotide ribosomal RNA is filed under the name uncultured eukaryote. RNAcentral's name for it is "partial 18S ribosomal RNA". It matches the Rfam family "Eukaryotic small subunit ribosomal RNA", at positions 1470 to 1796 of the family's 1831-position model. The record is from RNAcentral.
CCCUUAGAUGUUCUGGGCCGCACGCGCGCUACACUGAUGCAUUCAACGAGUCUAAAACCUGGUCUGAUAGGGCUGGGUAAUCUUUUGAAUGUGCAUCGUGAUUGGGAUAGAUGAUUGCAAUUCUUCAUCUUCAACGAGGAAUGCCUAGUAAACGCAAGUCAUCAUCUUGCAUUGAUUACGUCCCUGCCCUUUGUACACACCGCCCGUCGCUCCUACCGAUUGAAUGUUCCGAUGAAUACCAUGGACUGAGAGUAUGAAUGGGUUCGCCUAUUUCUGCUUCUCGGGAAGUGGAGUAAAUCUUAACAUUUAGAGGAAGGAGAAGUCGUAACA